GACUGGAGGACCCCCUGGGCCUCGGUGGCCAGCCAAUCUAGCUGAAUCAGUGGACCAAGGUUCAAUGAGAGACCCUGCCAGUGUAGAGCGGGGCUGCCAACCUCGUUGUCAUGUGCACAUCAGGUGCCCUUUGUAAAAUGGAGGCUGGAAAGGAGGAGUUCACCGUGGGAGCACUUGGGCCCACAUCGUGACCUGGACCCGGCAGUUGUGGGACGCACAUGUCACGGCACACGUGUGGAGGUCAGAGGACAUCGUGUGGGACUUGGUUCUCUUCUCCAUAAGGAUCAAACUCAGGUUGUCCUGCGGUAAGCACCUUUACCCAGUAAGCUAUCCUGUCGGCCCCCGCCCCGCUCCGUUUAAAGAGGGCCUAUUGUUUGCCGAUACUGUAGCAGGCAGAAAAGCAUCGCCCGCCCUCUUGACCUGUCUAUGUUGCCGAAGUCCAAGGGUCACACAUCCAGGUAUCAGAGAGUAGAGUUCGGCUUCCUCAGCUCAGCUCAGCCUGCAACUGACGGGAACCAGGGAAGACAGAGGGAGAGAAGUCACCUGACCCUGUGAGCCUUCUGUCUCUGUCUCCAUUGCUCUGGGGUCUCUGCGUGGCCCCACAGGGAAACACCAUCCUGUCCUCUCACUGAUGAGAAGCUGAAACCAGGCACUGUGAUGGACACUUUCAUUGCGCAGGACCCCAUGCUUCCCCGCUCUGUCCUCAGCUCCCGUUCCUAGGGAACCUGCUCUGUGCCUGCAGAGGCUUUGGUCGGAAUAGCUUGGGGUGCUACUGGCAUCAAGUGGGGAAGCAUGGAUUCCCACAACUACGUAUAGUGCACGGGUCACCAAGACAGAGCCGCAUCUCCAGCGUAUGUCAGCGGUGCUAAAGAUGCAGCUGAUCUUCACGCCGUGGUCCCGUUCCUGUCAGGCCCAUCGCACCUGCCUUGGAUGCUGUUUUAUUUGGGGCCCACCCAGCGUGGUGUCUCUAGGAGAGUGUUUUUCUUUACCCCACCCUACCUUAUACAGGAGGAGACCAUGGCUGCCAAGGGCACACAAGUGACAGGAGUGGCUUCACUUGCGUCUGCCUCACUGGCCAGUCUGAUCUCAUGUUCCUUGGAUUCCACCGGGUCUGUCAUCCCUUCGGCCUGCCCCACAACCGCGCUAUUUUGUGUUAGUUAUUUAAGUGUCUCAUUCACCACUUCCGGUGUCCAGCUUCUGUAGUUAUUACCCCUGAACCUUACUGGUAGUCUGCCUUCGCAGCCACGGCGGCCACCACGUGUUGACCUGCACAUUAAAACUUUAAAUUUAUUUAUUUA
Mus musculus (house mouse) is the source of this 1298-nucleotide long non-coding RNA. RefSeq annotates it as predicted gene, 39991. The transcript is spliced from 2 exons. The record is from RefSeq and is a predicted model, not a curated record. Lineage: Eukaryota; Metazoa; Chordata; Mammalia; Rodentia; Muridae.